UACGGAAAGCAGCAGUGGGGAAUAUUGCACAAUGGGCGAAAGCCUGAUGCAGCUAUGCCGCGUGUAUGAAGAAGGCCUUAGGGUUGUAAAGUACUUUCAUCGGGGAGGAAAAACAAAACUAAUAAUUUUAUUUCUUGACGUUACCCGAAAAAGAAGCACCGGCUAACUCCGUGCCAGCAGCCGCGGUAAUACGGAGGGUGCUAGCGUUAAUCAGAAUUACUGGGCGUAAAGAGCACGCAGGUCGGUUAAUUAAGUUGGAUGUGAAAUCCCGGGCUUAACCUGGGAAUGGCAUUUCAAGACUGGUUAGCUAGAGUCUUGUAGAGGGGGUAGAAUUCCAUGUGUAGCGGUGAAAUGCGUAGAGAUGUGGAGGAAUACCGGUGGCGAAGGCGGCCCCUGGACAAAGACUGACGCUCAUGUGCGAAAGCGUGGGAGCAAACGAGGAUUAGACUACC
RNAcentral lists this ribosomal RNA (452 nucleotides) under uncultured bacterium. RNAcentral describes it as "bacterial SSU rRNA". It matches the Rfam family "Bacterial small subunit ribosomal RNA", at positions 340 to 787 of the family's 1533-position model. The record is from RNAcentral.